RNAcentral lists this transfer RNA (73 nucleotides) under Canis lupus familiaris (dog). It matches the Rfam family "tRNA". Rfam says of the family: Transfer RNA (tRNA) molecules are approximately 80 nucleotides in length. Their secondary structure includes four short double-helical elements and three loops (D, anti-codon, and T loops). The record is from Rfam by way of RNAcentral. RNAcentral also lists the same sequence under 3 other names. Lineage: Eukaryota; Metazoa; Chordata; Mammalia; Carnivora; Canidae.
ACCUGGCUGGCUCAGCCAGUAGAGCAUACGACUCUUGAUCUUGGAGUUGUAAGUUGAAGCCUUAUGUUGGGUG